AUUGAACGCUGGCGGCAGGCCUAACACAUGCCAGUCGAGCGGAUGAAGGGAGCUUGCUCCUGGAUUCAGCGGCGGACGGGUGAGUAAUGCCUAGGAAUCUGCCUGGUAGUGGGGGAUAACGUCCGGAAACGGGCGCUAAUACCGCAUACGUCCUGAGGGAGAAAGUGGGGGAUCUUCGGACCUCACGCUAUCAGAUGAGCCUAGGUCGGAUUAGCUAGUUGGUGGGGUAAAGGCCUACCAAGGCGACGAUCCGUAACUGGUCUGAGAGGAUGAUCAGUCACACUGGAACUGAGACACGGUCCAGACUCCUACGGGAGGCAGCAGUGGGGAAUAUUGGACAAUGGGCGAAAGCCUGAUCCAGCCAUGCCGCGUGUGUGAAGAAGGUCUUCGGAUUGUAAAGCACUUUAAGUUGGGAGGAAGGGCAGUAAGUUAAGACCUUGCUGUUUUGACGUUACCAACAGAAUAAGCACCGGCUAACUUCGG
This 483-nucleotide ribosomal RNA is filed under the name uncultured bacterium. RNAcentral's name for it is "partial 16S ribosomal RNA". It matches the Rfam family "Bacterial small subunit ribosomal RNA", at positions 30 to 506 of the family's 1533-position model. The record is from RNAcentral.